CCUACGGGAGGCUGCAGUGGGGAAUAUUGCACAAUGGGGGAAACCCUGAUGCAGCGACGCCGCGUGAGUGAAGAAGUAUUUCGGUAUGUAAAGCUCUAUCAGCAGGGAAGAAAUACUGACCUUACGGUCAGCAGACGGUACCUGACUAAGAAGCCCCGGCUAACUACGUGCCAGCAGCCGCGGUAAUACGUAGGGGGCAAGCGUUAUCCGGAUUUACUGGGUGUAAAGGGAGCGUAGACGGCAGCGCAAGUCUGAAGUGAAAUCCCAUGGCUUAACCAUGGAACUGCUUUGGAAACUGUGCAGCUGGAGUGCAGGAGAGGUAAGCGGAAUUCCUAGUGUAGCGGUGAAAUGCGUAGAUAUUAGGAGGAACACCAGUGGCGAAGGCGGGUUCCUGGACAUUAACUGACGCUGAGGCACGAAGGCCAGGGGAGCGAAAGGGAUUAGAUACCCCGGUAGUC
Molecule: ribosomal RNA, 458 nt
Filed under: uncultured bacterium
Lineage: Bacteria
Description: partial 16S ribosomal RNA
Rfam family: Bacterial small subunit ribosomal RNA
Source: RNAcentral